GAUUCGAGUGAGAGAGAACCCCUGCCCGAGUGAGCCUGAGCGACUGAGGUGUCCGAGCUAUUUCCGGCGAAGUUCCUGACCCAAUGCUUGUUCGAAACGUUGUCCGAGCACUGAUCAGGAUCCACCCUUAUCACCUUCCUUACCUCAAUAGAUGUCUGACAGACCUGAUUGUCAUUGUCAAACGCUUGCGAUAUUCUUCAUUUUGAACUUUUGUUUGUUUGAUAAAGCAUUUUGUAUACUUUGUUUUUGAUCAUUUAGGGCAAUGCAUCUUCUUAAAGCUUCAUUAUGAUUGAGUACUUAUUUGUAUCCCAACAUGAUGAAUGUCGAAUCUUUUCAACAACUUUCUUUCAAUUCUUAAAAU
Molecule: long non-coding RNA, 361 nt
Filed under: Zostera marina
Lineage: Eukaryota; Viridiplantae; Streptophyta; Magnoliopsida; Alismatales; Zosteraceae
Description: long non-coding RNA (ZMAR_LNC005744)
Source: RNAcentral